GACGAACGCUGGCGGCGUGCUUAACACAUGCAAGUCGAACGGAAAGGCCCUGCUUUUGUGGGGUGCUCGAGUGGCGAACGGGUGAGUAACACGUGAGUAACCUGCCCUUGACUUUGGGAUAACUUCAGGAAACUGGGGCUAAUACCGGAUAGGAGCUCCUGCUGCAUGGUGGGGGUUGGAAAGUUUCGGCGGUUGGGGAUGGACUCGCGGCUUAUCAGCUUGUUGGUGGGGUAGUGGCUUACCAAGGCUUUGACGGGUAGCCGGCCUGAGAGGGUGACCGGCCACAUUGGGACUGAGAUACGGCCCAGAGUCCUACGUGAGGCAGCAGUGGGGAAUAUUGCACAAUGGGCGGAAGCCUGAUGCAGCAACGCCGCGUGCGGGAUGACGGCCUUCGGGUUGUAAACCGCUUUCGCCUGUGACGAAGCGUGAGUGACGGUAAUGGGUAAAGAAGCACCGGCUAACUACGUG
This 468-nucleotide ribosomal RNA is filed under the name uncultured bacterium. RNAcentral describes it as "partial 16S ribosomal RNA". It matches the Rfam family "Bacterial small subunit ribosomal RNA", at positions 28 to 507 of the family's 1533-position model. The record is from RNAcentral.